Molecule: non-coding RNA, 100 nt
Organism: Acanthosepion pharaonis
Lineage: Eukaryota; Metazoa; Mollusca; Cephalopoda; Sepiida; Sepiidae
Source: the annotation of a GenBank genome assembly
CGGCCUUAUAGCGUUGAAAUAUCGCUUCUUAUACGAUCACCGAAGUUAAGCAACGCUGCGUCUGGUUAGUACUUAGAUAGGCGACCGCUUGGGAACAGCA